UGUAAAGGCAGUGAUGUCAUAGUCGAGUAGUACUAAUUACCCAUAGACUUUUUCUA
Molecule: ribosomal RNA, 56 nt
Filed under: Empedobacter sp. R132-2
Lineage: Bacteria; Pseudomonadati; Bacteroidota; Flavobacteriia; Flavobacteriales; Weeksellaceae
Description: partial 23S ribosomal RNA
Source: RNAcentral